RNAcentral lists this ribosomal RNA (109 nucleotides) under Gossypium arboreum. Its description in RNAcentral is "5.8S ribosomal RNA". It matches the Rfam family "5.8S ribosomal RNA", at positions 48 to 154 of the family's 154-position model. From Rfam's summary of the family: 5.8S ribosomal RNA (5.8S rRNA) is a component of the large subunit of the eukaryotic ribosome. It is transcribed by RNA polymerase I as part of the 45S precursor that also contains 18S and 28S rRNA. Functionally, it is thought that 5.8S rRNA may be involved in ribosome translocation. Lineage: Eukaryota; Viridiplantae; Streptophyta; Magnoliopsida; Malvales; Malvaceae. The record is from Rfam by way of RNAcentral.
GCGAAAUGCGAUACUUGGUGUGAAUUACAGAAUCCCGUGAACCAUCGAGUCUUUGAACGCAAGUUGCGCCCCAAUCCAUUAGGCCGAGGGCACGUCUGCUUGGGUGUCA